UGACCUCAAAUCAGGUAGGACUACCCGCUGAACUUAAGCAUAUCAAUAAGCGGAGGAAAAGAAACUAACAAGGAUUCCCCUAGUAACUGCGAGUGAAGCGGGAUAAGCUCAAAUUUAAAAUCUGGCGGUCCUUGUGGCCGUCCGAGUUGUAAUUUAGAGAAGCGUUAUCCGCGUUGGACCGUGUACAAGUCUCCUGGAAUGGAGCGUCAUAGAGGGUGAGAAUCCCGUCUUUGACACGGACUGCCAAGGCAUUGUGAUACGCUCUCGAAGAGUCGAGUUGUUUGGGAAUGCAGCUCAAAAUGGGUGGUAAAUUCCAUCUAAAGCUAAAUAUUGGGGAGAGACCGAUAGCGAACAAGUACCGUGAGGGAAAGAUGAAAAGAACUUUGGAAAGAGAGUUAAACAGUACGUGAAAUUGCUGAAAGGGAAACGCUUGAAGUCAGUCGCGUCGUUCAGGACUCAGCCUUGCUUUGCUUGGUGUACUUCCUGUUCGACGGGUCAGCAUCAAUUUUGGUCGGUGGAUAAAGGCUUGGAGAAUGUGGCAUCCUCGGAUGUGUUAUAGCUCUGGGUCGCAUACAUCGGCUGGGAUUGAGGAACUCAGCACGCCGCAAGGCCGGGGACUUGUCCCACGUACGUGCUUAGGAGGCUGGCAAAUGCUAAC
Molecule: ribosomal RNA, 658 nt
Filed under: Mycena cf. galericulata UBC F16255
Lineage: Eukaryota; Fungi; Basidiomycota; Agaricomycetes; Agaricales; Mycenaceae
Description: eukaryotic LSU rRNA
Rfam family: Eukaryotic large subunit ribosomal RNA
Source: RNAcentral